AGCAGCCGCGGUAAUUCCAGCUCCAAUAGCGUAUAUUAAAGUUGUUGCAGUUAAAAAGCUCGUAGUUGAAUUUCGGGACCAAUUUGUUGGUCGUGCCUCGGUACGUACUGGUAUUAUUGGUUUCUCCCUUCUGAAGAACCUCGAUGCCAUUAAUUUGGUGUCGUGGGGAAUCAGGACUGUUACUUUGAAAAAUUAGAGUGUUUAAAGCAAGCAUACGCUUGAAUACAUUAGCAUGGAAUAAUGAAAUAGGACGUUUGAUUCUAUUUUGUUGGUUUCUAGGAUCGACGUAAUGAUUAAUAGGGAUAGUUGGGGGCAUUAGUAUUCAAUUGUCAGAGGUGAAAUUCUUGGAUUUAUUGAAGACUAA
Molecule: unclassified non-coding RNA, 364 nt
Filed under: uncultured Glomus
Lineage: Eukaryota; Fungi; Glomeromycota; Glomeromycetes; Glomerales; Glomeraceae
Description: SSU rRNA
Rfam family: Eukaryotic small subunit ribosomal RNA
Source: RNAcentral